ACCGCGCGUCCCCCAGGAGGGUCUGGAGGGCGACAUGAGGCUGCGUUGGAGCUCUGCGGAGGGCCGGCUCUGGAGCCACCUCUCUCACUCUAGGCCUUUGCAAUCACCCCUCCUACUCUCUGUGUUGGGGGCACAGUAAGGUGUUUAUCAUUACUCCCCUAACUUUGCACCUUACGUUAUAUCCGUCCCUUCAGUUAGGGACAGGCUGGUCCCUUCUAAGAUACGUGGUCUGAGUCACAAACCUAUGCCUGCAUUCAUAGCUACAAAUGCAAAGGAGAGGGUGUGUUCUACCACAUGGUCCCUUUCUCUGUUUUAAAUACACAUCUCAUAAGAACUUAGGCUUUACAUUCAGAAACGAGAUGCACAACAACCUGUAAGAGGCCCCUGCUCCCUUGAAAGCAGCUUUUAAACAAGAAUGGGCACUGCUGGCAGGUAUUAAUGAUACAUACUUCGGAUUAGAAGAGGAAUGCUAUUUUUUGCCCUAUACUGAUAGAAGAUGAGAGCAGGGGAUGUUGGUGUUACCAAGAAGUGGAGAGUAGUAGUAGACUAGUAUUAAUAAUUACUAUUCUUCCUGCAAACUGUAUGCCUACUGUGGCAGUGAUGGAUUGCCCUUAUUCAGCAGCCAGAAAUUCUCAAAGCCUAAACAGGGGCCUCGCAGCAUCAGCAUCACUUAGGACCAGACGGAAAUACAAAUUCCUGGGCAUUUUUAAACCUAAAGUUAUGGACCCAGAGGUCUAUGUCUCACGAGCCCUCCGGGUAAUUCUGAGGCAUGCUAACAGCCGAGAACCACUGGCCCGGGCUGCUGUGCAAGGCUGAUCCUGUGUGAGUCACAGAGCUUUCCCUGCAGGAUUUUACAGUUUACCAAUCUCUUUCACACUCACUAGGCCAUUCUGGCCUCACUUCAGUCCUACUAGUCUGUGAGUUUCCUGACUCUGUUAAGCCUUUCCCACAUUCCAAUGCCUUAUUUUGAUGUGUAUCCUAAAAGAGACCUAGUUGUUAAGAAUUUACUACAGUCAGGGAGCCACUUUCUAAACUAAGCCGCUCCAUUUUUAGAAAAUUGGAAUUUAGAAUGGGCUGGGAAUGCAAAAACACCCCCCAUAUCCACUACACAGUAUCAGGCACAAUUUGGGAAUGCAAAGCUAUAAGCCUUUCGAAUUUUCAAUGGUGAGGAAUGGCAGAGUGCCAGAGCAGAUCGUGGGUAGGACUAGGCAGCGGGUGGGGGCAGGUUCCCUUGGUACAAAGGAGAGGAACAUACUGCUCUCUGCCUGAGCUGAGAGAAGUGCAGAAGCCCCACAAACCCUUUCUCUGUUUUAAAUACACAUCUCAGAGAAAGGGGUGGCAAGAGUGUGGAGCACACAGUGGGCCCCCUGACCCAUGUUCAUGAACUGACUCCAAGUUGAAGAAAAGAAGAAUCGGUUCUUCAGGCCUGAGAGAUGGCUCAGCAGUUAAGAGUGCUGGAUGCUCCUACAGAGAACCUGGAUUUGAUUCCCAGCACCCACAUAGCAGCUAACAAUGGUCUGUAAAUCCAGUCCCAAGGGAUCCACCCUCUGGCCACCCUCUUCUAGUCUACCUGGCACCAGGUACAGACAUGGUACACAGUCAUACGUGCAGGAAAACACUCAUACAUACAAAAAUAAAGUAAAUAAAUACAUAACAAAAACUUAAAAGAUCCUUCAGGAAACAGAAAACAUCUUAAAAUUUGAAAACAUCUUAUAUCUCAUUUCACUACCAAAUCAAUGUUCACCUUAAGUUUGGUUUUAUUUGUUUGAGGCAGCUCAGUCUAGCCUCUAACUUGUGAUCAGUCUCUAACUCCUGGCUCAGCCUCCCAAAGGUUAAGACUACAAGCAUUUGGCUUGUUUGAUUAUUAUGUUAUCAUGUACUUAACACAUGAUGUCCAAGGUGUGAAACUCAUCAAUGGAAAGUCUUUGGUGUUUUUCAUAAAAUCCACUUUGUUUUCCUUCUUUUGGGGGUGUGCUAUUGGAAAUUAAACCCAGAGACUCACACCCACCAAGCUUGAAUUCUCCCCUAAACUACACCUCCAUCCCUAAACCAUGUCUAACUUUCCUAGUUAUUUGGAAACUGGGAUAAUGGCUAUCUAACUUUUGGAGUGUUGUCUAGCAUUUAGACACCACCUGACACAGGAUUAAAGGUCAUGGCUUCUAUCACAGAUGUCAUCCAGUUUCUAGAUGAUUCCAUAAAAUUCAAACCUGUCCAAGCCAUUUCUGAAUUUCACAAGAGAACAUACUACAUAAUAAUUCUGCUACUUCAAAGGAAAUUUGGAAGUGACGUCAUUGGAGAGACUGGAUGAUGGGCAAAGGCUGUUUUGAAGUCAGUGGCAGAUUUUCAUUGGCCAGAGUAAACAAAUAAACAAAUAAGUACUUGAGAUUUAUACAACUCAAAAGUAUUUUGGCUGAUUGAAAUUCUGCUUAAAGGACUGAAUCGAUCAUCCUAUUGUUCUCCCUCGCUUUGAGAAAAUACAAGCACAAACUAUAUGUUUAUAUGUAAGAUAUGACAAACAUUUGCAGACUCACAAAGCAAGAGUCUGUAUUUGGCAUAUAGGAAUAGAAUUUUCCCUUUUGUUUUGACACAUCUAAUUAUUAUAAGUAUGAUGUAGUGGGAAGAAUGCUAGUCUUACGUCAAAAAUUUUAUGGGAGAAUUCUGGUUCUGUUUUGGACAACCAAAUCAAUGAACCUCUUUAACCCAAGUUCUUCUCAACUGUGAAUCAAAGGGUUGUGACAUGUCUGCCCACAUUGCUUUUGUGACCAGCCAAGGGGACAGUUCUUAUGAAAUGCCUGUGCUGAACACAUGGUUGAUGUCAGUAAAUCCCAAUGAAGCAAGUAAUGGGCCCACACCCCUAGGUUGUAGGGGCAGGAUUGACCUACUAAGCAUGUUCUUCGAAUAGAAAUCUCAAUUAGAAUAAUAAACAAAGUCAUCCCUCACUACAUUUGCUAACCUGAAUAUAUAUAUGAGUGUUCCAGAAUCCUGUGUCCUUGUCAACACCCAGGUCAGUUUGGUGAACUGAUGCUUUUUCCUGUGGAGGACAAAGUGCGAAAAUGCCCAGAUUAACACUUCCCUUCAGUGAUGUCAUGCAAAGAAAUCAACUUCUUUUGCAUUAGGAGGAGUAAACUAUACAAAUAACCAUCGAAGAGAUUGGCUGAAGUGCUGGUGAUGUCACAAUCCCACCACCUAAGCCUACGGUUCUUACUGGCUUUUUUAAGAGGACGGGAGCACUGGGAAGGUUCUACAUUACUCCACAAUUGCUGAAAGCUCUGAGCUUAAACUAAAUUUUACCUUUUUUUCCUGUUUUUCUUAAAAUGUGCCCAGAGCCUUUUUACAUGUUAUUACAUUUCUCACAUUAUUCCAUGUUAUUGCUUAGUUGUAUUCUCUAGGUCACUGUAACCAUUUUGAAUAAUUUCUUUACAACCUAUCAAAUAAAUCUCUCAUGGUUCAAUCACUA
Molecule: non-coding RNA, 3457 nt
Organism: Cricetulus griseus (Chinese hamster)
Lineage: Eukaryota; Metazoa; Chordata; Mammalia; Rodentia; Cricetidae
Source: RefSeq, a predicted model, not a curated record